Molecule: ribosomal RNA, 959 nt
Filed under: Escherichia coli
Lineage: Bacteria; Pseudomonadati; Pseudomonadota; Gammaproteobacteria; Enterobacterales; Enterobacteriaceae
Description: partial 23S ribosomal RNA
Rfam family: Bacterial large subunit ribosomal RNA
Source: RNAcentral
GCACGAAUGGCGUAAUGAUGGCCAGGCUGUCUCCACCCGAGACUCAGUGAAAUUGAACUCGCUGUGAAGAUGCAGUGUACCCGCGGCAAGACGGAAAGACCCCGUGAACCUUUACUAUAGCUUGACACUGAACAUUGAGCCUUGAUGUGUAGGAUAGGUGGGAGGCUUUGAAGUGUGGACGCCAGUCUGCAUGGAGCCGACCUUGAAAUACCACCCUUUAAUGUUUGAUGUUCUAACGUGGACCCGUGAUCCGGGUUGCGGACAGUGUCUGGUGGGUAGUUUGACUGGGGCGGUCUCCUCCUAAAGAGUAACGGAGGAGCACGAAGGUUGGCUAAUCCUGGUCGGACAUCAGGAGGUUAGUGCAAUGGCAUAAGCCAGCUUGACUGCGAGCGUGACGGCGCGAGCAGGUGCGAAAGCAGGUCAUAGUGAUCCGGUGGUUCUGAAUGGAAGGGCCAUCGCUCAACGGAUAAAAGGUACUCCGGGGAUAACAGGCUGAUACCGCCCAAGAGUUCAUAUCGACGGCGGUGUUUGGCACCUCGAUGUCGGCUCAUCACAUCCUGGGGCUGAAGUAGGUCCCAAGGGUAUGGCUGUUCGCCAUUUAAAGUGGUACGCGAGCUGGGUUUAGAACGUCGUGAGACAGUUCGGUCCCUAUCUGCCGUGGGCGCUGGAGAACUGAGGGGGGCUGCUCCUAGUACGAGAGGACCGGAGUGGACGCAUCACUGGUGUUCGGGUUGUCAUGCCAAUGGCACUGCCCGGUAGCUAAAUGCGGAAGAGAUAAGUGCUGAAAGCAUCUAAGCACGAAACUUGCCCCGAGAUGAGUUCUCCCUGACCCUUUAAGGGUCCUGAAGGAACGUUGAAGACGACGACGUUGAUAGGCCGGGUGUGUAAGCGCAGCGAUGCGUUGAGCUAACCGGUACUAAUGAACCGUGAGGCUUAACCUUACAACGCCGAAGGUGUUU